This 450-nucleotide ribosomal RNA is filed under the name uncultured bacterium. RNAcentral's name for it is "partial 16S ribosomal RNA". It matches the Rfam family "Bacterial small subunit ribosomal RNA", at positions 354 to 796 of the family's 1533-position model. The record is from RNAcentral.
GUUAGGAAUAUUGGACAAUGGGCGCAAGCCUGAUCCAGCCAUGCCGCGUGCAGGAUGAAGGCCUUCGGGUUGUAAACUGCUUUUGUACGGAACGAAAAGGCUCUGGUUAAUACCUGGGGUCCAUGACGGUACCGUAAGAAUAAGCACCGGCUAACUACGUGCCAGCAGCCGCGGUAAUACGUAGGGUGCGAGCGUUAAUCGGAAUUACUGGGCGUAAAGCGUGUGCAGGCGGUUUUGUAAGACAGGCGUGAAAUCCCCGGGCUCAACCUGGGAACUGCAUUUGUGACUGUAUAGCUAGAGUACGGUAGAGGGGGAUGGAAUUCCGCGUGUAGCAGUGAAAUGCGUAGAUAUGCGGAGGAACACCGAUGGCGAAGGCAAUCCCCUGGACCUGUACUGACGCUCAUGCACGAAAGCGUGGGGAGCAAACAGGAUUAGAUACCCCAGUAGUCC